RNAcentral lists this ribosomal RNA (252 nucleotides) under uncultured prokaryote. Its description in RNAcentral is "partial 16S rRNA". It matches the Rfam family "Archaeal small subunit ribosomal RNA", at positions 475 to 726 of the family's 1478-position model. The record is from RNAcentral.
ACCGGCAGCUCAAGUGGUGGCAAUUAUUAUUGGGCCUAAAGCGUUCGUAGCCGGUUUGAUAAGUGUCUGGUGAAAUCCCGCCGCUUAACUGUGGGGAUUGCUGGAGAUACUAUCAGACAUGAGGACGGGAUAGGUUAGAGGUACUCCCAGGGUAGUUGUGAAAACCAAUAAUCCUGGGCGGACCACCUGUGGCGAAGGCGCCUAACCGGAAAGAACCUGACGUUAAGCAACUAUAGCCAUUGCCGCGAACCA